UACGAAGGGGGCUAGCGUUGCUCGGAAUCACUGGGCGUAAAGCGCACGUAGGCGGCUUUCUAAGUCAGGGGUGAAAUCCUGGAGCUCAACUCCAGAACUGCCCUUGAUACUGGAGAGCUUGAGUUCGGGAGAGGUGAGUGGAACUGCGAGUGUAGAGGUGAAAUUCGUAGAUAUUCGCAAGAACACCAGUGGCGAAGGCGGCUCACUGGCCCGGUACUGACGCUGAGGUGCGAAAGCGUGGGGAGCAAACAGG
RNAcentral lists this ribosomal RNA (253 nucleotides) under uncultured bacterium. RNAcentral describes it as "partial 16S ribosomal RNA". It matches the Rfam family "Bacterial small subunit ribosomal RNA", at positions 524 to 776 of the family's 1533-position model. The record is from RNAcentral.